AACGAACGCUGGCGGCGCGUCUUAAACAUGCAAGUCGAACGGCAGGAAGGGGCUUGCCCCUUCUGAGAGUGGCGGACUGGUGAGUAACACGUGGGUGACAUACCUUUUAGUUGGGGAUAGCUAUUAGAAAUAGUAGGUAAUACCGAAUGUGACCGUACCUGUUAGAGGGGUACGAGGAAAGGAGCUAAGGCUUCGCUAAAAGAAUGGCUCGCGGCCCAUUAUGCUCGUCGGUGAGGUAACGGCCCACCAAGGCGAUGAUGGGUAUCCGGCCUGAGAGGGUGAACGGACACAUUGGGACUGAGAUACGGCCCAGACUUCUACGGGAGGCAGCAGUUAAGAAUAUUCCGCAAUGGACGAAAGUCUGACGGAGCGACGCCGCGUGGAUGAAGAAUGCCGAAAGGUUGUAAAAUCCUUUUAAGCCUGAUGAAUAAGCACAGUAGGGAAUGAUUGUGCGGUGACCGUAGGGCUUGAAUAAGCACCGGCUAAUUACGUG
This 493-nucleotide ribosomal RNA is filed under the name uncultured bacterium. RNAcentral describes it as "partial 16S ribosomal RNA". It matches the Rfam family "Bacterial small subunit ribosomal RNA", at positions 29 to 507 of the family's 1533-position model. The record is from RNAcentral.